UCAGUCGGCUCAGGACGAACGCUGGCGGCGUGCGUUAACACAUGCAAGUCGAACGGUGAACCAGAGCUUGCUCUGGGGAUCAGUGGCGAACGGGUGAGUAACACGUGGGCAACCUGCCCCAGACUCUGGGAUAACCUCGGGAAACCGAUGCUAAUACCGGAUACGACCACUUCGGACAUCCGACGGUGGUGGAAAGUUUUUCGGUCUGGGAUGGGCCCGCGGCCUAUCAGCUAGUUGGUGGGGUAAUGGCCUACCAAGGCGACGACGGGUAGUCGGCCUGAGAGGGCGACCGGCCACACUGGAACUGAGACACGGUCCAGACUCCUACGGGAGGCAGCAGUGGGGAAUAUUGCACAAUGGGCGAAAGCCUGAUGCAGCGACGCCGCGUGAGGGACGACGGCCUUCGGGUUGUAAACCUCUUUCAGCAGGGACGAAGCGAAAGUGACUGUACCUGCAGAAGAAGCACCGGCUAACUACGUG
Molecule: ribosomal RNA, 480 nt
Filed under: uncultured bacterium
Lineage: Bacteria
Description: bacterial SSU rRNA
Rfam family: Bacterial small subunit ribosomal RNA
Source: RNAcentral